Molecule: ribosomal RNA, 549 nt
Filed under: uncultured bacterium
Lineage: Bacteria
Description: partial 16S ribosomal RNA
Rfam family: Bacterial small subunit ribosomal RNA
Source: RNAcentral
UGGGGAAUUUUGGACAAUGGGCGAAAGCCUGAUCCAGCAAUGCCGCGUGUGUGAAGAAGGCCUUCGGGUUGUAAAGCACUUUUGUCCGGAAAGAAAUCCUCUGGGUUAAUACCUCGGGGGGAGUGACGGUACCGGAAGAAUAAGCACCGGCUAACUACGUGCCAGCAGCCGCGGUAAUACGUAGGGUGCAAGCGUUAAUCGGAAUUACUGGGCGUAAAGCGUGCGCAGGCGGUUUUGUAAGACGGAUGUGAAAUCCCCGGGCUUAACCUGGGAACUGCAUUCGUGACUGCAAGGCUAGAGUAUGGCAGAGGGGGGUAGAAUUCCACGUGUAGCAGUGAAAUGCGUAGAGAUGUGGAGGAAUACCGAUGGCGAAGGCAGCCCCCUGGGCCAAUACUGACGCUCAUGCACGAAAGCGUGGGGAGCAAACAGGAUUAGAUACCCUGGGUAGUCCACGCCCUAAACGAUGUCAACUAGUUGUUGGGGAUUCAUUUCCUUAGUAACGUAGCUAACGCGUGAAGUUGACCGCCUGGGGAGUACGGUCGCAAGAUU